Molecule: ribosomal RNA, 497 nt
Filed under: uncultured bacterium
Lineage: Bacteria
Description: partial 16S ribosomal RNA
Rfam family: Bacterial small subunit ribosomal RNA
Source: RNAcentral
GAUGAACGCUGGCGGCGUGCCUAAUACAUGCAAGUCGAGCGAACAGACGAGGAGCUUGCUCCUCUGACGUUAGCGGCGGACGGGUGAGUAACACGUGGAUAACCUACCUAUAAGACUGGGAUAACUUCGGGAAAUCGGAGCUAAUACCGGAUAAUAUAUUGAACCGCAUGGUUCAAUAGUGAAAGACGGUUUUGCUGUCACUUAUAGAUGGAUCCGCGCCGCAUUAGCUAGUUGGUAAGGUAACGGCUUACCAAGGCAACGAUGCGUAGCCGACCUGAGAGGGUGAUCGGCCACACUAGAACUGAGACACGGUCCUGACUCCUACGGGAGGCAGCAGUAGGGAAUCUUCCGCAAUGGGCGAAAGCCUGACGGAGCAACGCCGCGUGAGUGAUGAAGGUCUUCGGAUCGUAAAACUCUGUUAUUAGGGAAGAACAAAUGUGUAAGUAACUAUGCACGUCUUGACGGUACCUAAUCAGAAAGCCACGGCUAACUACGUG